UGUCUAAGUACAAGCCUAAACACGGUGAAACUGCGAAUGGCUCAUUAAAUCAGUUGAGGUUCCUUAGAUCGUUCAAUCCUACUUGGAUAACUGUAGUAAUUCUAGAGCUAAUACAUGCACAUUCGGCCCUGACCUCACGGGAAGGGCGCUUUUAUUAGACCAAAAACCAAUGCGGGUUCGUUUCGGCGUCCCGCCCUUGGUGGUGAACCCUG
Molecule: ribosomal RNA, 212 nt
Filed under: Sabellaria sp. V1_P13
Lineage: Eukaryota; Metazoa; Annelida; Polychaeta; Sabellida; Sabellariidae
Description: partial small subunit ribosomal RNA
Rfam family: Eukaryotic small subunit ribosomal RNA
Source: RNAcentral